This 1466-nucleotide ribosomal RNA is filed under the name Salmonella enterica subsp. enterica serovar Enteritidis. RNAcentral describes it as "bacterial SSU rRNA". It matches the Rfam family "Bacterial small subunit ribosomal RNA". The record is from RNAcentral. Lineage: Bacteria; Pseudomonadati; Pseudomonadota; Gammaproteobacteria; Enterobacterales; Enterobacteriaceae.
GCUUUGCUGACGAGUGGCGGACGGGUGAGUAAUGUCUGGGAAACUGCCUGAUGGAGGGGGAUAACUACUGGAAACGGUGGCUAAUACCGCAUAACGUCGCAAGACCAAAGAGGGGGACCUUCGGGCCUCUUGCCAUCAGAUGUGCCCAGAUGGGAUUAGCUUGUUGGUGAGGUAACGGCUCACCAAGGCGACGAUCCCUAGCUGGUCUGAGAGGAUGACCAGCCACACUGGAACUGAGACACGGUCCAGACUCCUACGGGAGGCAGCAGUGGGGAAUAUUGCACAAUGGGCGCAAGCCUGAUGCAGCCAUGCCGCGUGUAUGAAGAAGGCCUUCGGGUUGUAAAGUACUUUCAGCGGGGAGGAAGGUGUUGUGGUUAAUAACCGCAGCAAUUGACGUUACCCGCAGAAGAAGCACCGGCUAACUCCGUGCCAGCAGCCGCGGUAAUACGGAGGGUGCAAGCGUUAAUCGGAAUUACUGGGCGUAAAGCGCACGCAGGCGGUCUGUCAAGUCGGAUGUGAAAUCCCCGGGCUCAACCUGGGAACUGCAUUCGAAACUGGCAGGCUUGAGUCUUGUAGAGGGGGGUAGAAUUCCAGGUGUAGCGGUGAAAUGCGUAGAGAUCUGGAGGAAUACCGGUGGCGAAGGCGGCCCCCUGGACAAAGACUGACGCUCAGGUGCGAAAGCGUGGGGAGCAAACAGGAUUAGAUACCCUGGUAGUCCACGCCGUAAACGAUGUCUACUUGGAGGUUGUGCCCUUGAGGCGUGGCUUCCGGAGCUAACGCGUUAAGUAGACCGCCUGGGGAGUACGGCCGCAAGGUUAAAACUCAAAUGAAUUGACGGGGGCCCGCACAAGCGGUGGAGCAUGUGGUUUAAUUCGAUGCAACGCGAAGAACCUUACCUGGUCUUGACAUCCACAGAAGAAUCCAGAGAUGGAUUUGUGCCUUCGGGAACUGUGAGACAGGUGCUGCAUGGCUGUCGUCAGCUCGUGUUGUGAAAUGUUGGGUUAAGUCCCGCAACGAGCGCAACCCUUAUCCUUUGUUGCCAGCGGUUAGGCCGGGAACUCAAAGGAGACUGCCAGUGAUAAACUGGAGGAAGGUGGGGAUGACGUCAAGUCAUCAUGGCCCUUACGACCAGGGCUACACACGUGCUACAAUGGCGCAUACAAAGAGAAGCGACCUCGCGAGAGCAAGCGGACCUCAUAAAGUGCGUCGUAGUCCGGAUUGGAGUCUGCAACUCGACUCCAUGAAGUCGGAAUCGCUAGUAAUCGUGGAUCAGAAUGCCACGGUGAAUACGUUCCCGGGCCUUGUACACACCGCCCGUCACACCAUGGGAGUGGGUUGCAAAAGAAGUAGGUAGCUUAACCUUCGGGAGGGCGCUUACCACUUUGUGAUUCAUGACUGGGGUGAAGUCGUAACAAGGUAACCGUAGGGGAACCUGCGGUUGGAUCACCUCCUUACCUUAAAGAAGC